GAGUAGUAAUAGUUAUGUUCUUGAAACUUAAAGAAUUUGGCGGUAUUUUAAUCUAUUCAGAGGAACCUGUUCUAUAAUCGAUAAUCCACGAGGACUUUACUUAAUCUAGUUUUCAACUUGUAUACCGCCGUUAUUGAUUAUCUUUUAAGAGUAAUAAUUUUCCUUAAUUUUUAAAAGAAUAUCAGGUCAAGGUGCAGUUUAUGUUUAAGGAAGAAAUGGGUUACAAUAAAAAAAUUUAAACGGAAAGUUUAUUGAAAUAUGGCUUAGAAGGUGGAUUUGAUAGUAAAACUUUGUAUUUAGUGACUUUGAUUAUAGCUCUAAAAUAUGU
This 328-nucleotide ribosomal RNA is filed under the name Ptecticus brevipennis. Its description in RNAcentral is "partial 12S ribosomal RNA". The record is from RNAcentral. Lineage: Eukaryota; Metazoa; Arthropoda; Insecta; Diptera; Stratiomyidae.